GUGGGGAAUCUUGCGCAAUGGGCGAAAGCCUGACGCAGCCAUGCCGCGUGAAUGAUGAAGGUCUUAGGAUUGUAAAAUUCUUUCACCGGGGACGAUAAUGACGGUACCCGGAGAAGAAGCCCCGGCUAACUUCGUGCCAGCAGCCGCGGUAAUACGAAGGGGGCUAGCGUUGCUCGGAAUUACUGGGCGUAAAGGGCGCGUAGGCGGACAGUUUAGUCAGAGGUGAAAGCCCAGGGCUCAACCUUGGAAUUGCCUUUGAUACUGGCUGUCUUGAGUACGGGAGAGGUGAGUGGAACUCCGAGUGUAGAGGUGAAAUUCGUAGAUAUUCGGAAGAACACCAGUGGCGAAGGCGACUCACUGGCCCGUUACUGACGCUGAGGCGCGAAAGCGUGGGGGGCAAACAGGAUUAGAUACCCCUGUAGUCC
This 425-nucleotide ribosomal RNA is filed under the name uncultured bacterium. RNAcentral describes it as "partial 16S ribosomal RNA". It matches the Rfam family "Bacterial small subunit ribosomal RNA", at positions 354 to 796 of the family's 1533-position model. The record is from RNAcentral.